This 376-nucleotide long non-coding RNA is filed under the name Ursus maritimus (polar bear). Its description in RNAcentral is "lncRNA (ENSUMAG00000007256.1)". Lineage: Eukaryota; Metazoa; Chordata; Mammalia; Carnivora; Ursidae. The record is from RNAcentral.
GCGACAGAUUUUGCAGUGAAAAUUCACUUGGAAGAAAAUUGGGAGGUCCCUUAAACAUCUCAAGUAUUUUCUACGGUGAGAGGAAUGACUGCACCAUUUUCCUGAGCUAUGGCAGUCAGACCUGGUAGCAGUAACUUCUCCACAGAACCCCCAAACCCGGCAAGAAUGGUUCAGAUUUUGGCAGAUUAUGGCUUCAUCCCCACCCAGAACUGAUGUUAUCAGCAGAGCAACUUUCAUUGUUAGAGAGAGGAGAGAGAGAGAAGCCUUGUUGGUUGACGUCACUUGGUUCAUGAAGCCUUCGCCUAGAAGUGAAGCUGCUGAACAAACCUUGAGAAGAAUCAUCUCCUGCUUCAAUCUGCUGCUGGAUAGGAACUAA